This 73-nucleotide transfer RNA is filed under the name Canis lupus familiaris (dog). It matches the Rfam family "tRNA". Rfam says of the family: Transfer RNA (tRNA) molecules are approximately 80 nucleotides in length. Their secondary structure includes four short double-helical elements and three loops (D, anti-codon, and T loops). RNAcentral also lists the same sequence under 1 other name. Lineage: Eukaryota; Metazoa; Chordata; Mammalia; Carnivora; Canidae. The record is from Rfam by way of RNAcentral.
ACCUGGCUGGCUCAGUUGGUGGAGCAUGGGACUCAUGAUCUUGGUAUUGUGAGUUCAAGCCUCAUGUUCGGUG